Molecule: long non-coding RNA, 545 nt
Organism: Centrocercus urophasianus (Greater sage-grouse)
Lineage: Eukaryota; Metazoa; Chordata; Aves; Galliformes; Phasianidae
Exons: 2
Source: RefSeq, a predicted model, not a curated record
UACAUUGCAAACAUUGAUUUUACACUAAGGCAAAAUAUGUCAAAGGCCAAACGCUCCUGGGGUUCUAAUUGGCCGACCAUAUUAAAAGCAGGACCAUUACUCGUGAUCCUGCAGCUUUCAAUCAAUCCAUUAGGAACAAAGUAGUUCAGUCAGAUUUAACUUUUGCUUGCUUGCAAAUUUUCCACAAAGGGAAGGGAUGGGGGAUGGGCUUCUCUGCAGAGAAGCAGAAGUAAGAAAGAAAGAAAUGAAAAACAGCAUCCAACAAAACAGCUAUCAUUUAAAUAUAAUCAUGGGCUUUCAGAAACAAGCUCUGAUGGUCUAACAAUGAUAGCAAAUGAAUGUACUGAACAGAAAGAGACUGAAUCAAGUCAUCAGUGGCUUUUGCAAAGUAGAAGAACUUGGAAGAUCCUUGCAUCAGACAUGAGUGGUCUGCAUCAACCAUCAAUAUAUACUAUCCUCAGGUUUUCUCUGUGUAACUGUAAAGACCGCUGUGUUUUAAGCCUAAUUCCACAAUGAAUAAAGGAGUGGUCUGCCUUCAUCAAAGA